Long non-coding RNA from Peromyscus eremicus (cactus mouse), 1450 nucleotides. RefSeq lists it as uncharacterized. The record is from RefSeq and is a predicted model, not a curated record. NCBI's taxonomy places the organism in Eukaryota, Metazoa, Chordata, Mammalia, Rodentia, Cricetidae. The transcript has 3 exons.
CCACUGCCCUGCCCCCUUGGCAUUGCUCCGAACUAGUCCGUCAGCGCCUCAAUCUCGCCACGCCCCCUUUUGGCUCCAUACCCUCUCUCGUCCUGGUUUUCGCCCCUUCAUCCUUUUGUCCCGCCCCUUCCCUUUAGCGCCCCCUUUUCGUCAUGCCCCUCUUGACUCCGCCCCUCGUUCUCGGCCAGUCUUUCGCUGCCUCAUCCCUCCGUCCCACCUCGUAGGCCCCGCCCCUCCGCGUCAGUCCUUUACAGCUCCACCCCCGUGGCCCCGCCCCUCACCCACCUGCCGGGUCCAGAGCGCGGGCCCCGCCUCCCGACGUCGCCCUGGUUACGCCGGUUCUGUCCUGCAGGAUUCCUGUUUUAGGAUUUGAUGAGACAGGAAGAAACAAUCUUGAAAGACCGAAGCCAGCAGCUCCACUGAGUCCAAAGCCCCAACAGGCCCUGCCGCCCUCCCCCUCCCCAUUUUUCCGUUGGAUCCCCUGGACGCCGGCGGGGUGACUGCGCGUGCGCCACCCUGCUUGUUCGAGGGGCUUGGCGGUCGCUUUCCACGGGUUGUGCAAGCGCGUGCGCGGGGCCGCGUCCGUUGCUUGGUUACGGCUUUCACCUGCAGCCAGCAGGGUGCUGUGCGCCCGGCUACCGCCUUUGCCUGGAGCUGGCCAGAGCACUCACGCCGCCCGGGGGCUUCUGACAGAGGAGAGAGCUGGAGCCUGACGGCUCGGUCCUCUAUCCUCCCAAACGACUCCUCCCGAUGGGGCGCGGCCUCAAGCCCCGGACGGAGCGCUGGACCUCUUAGACCAGGGACAUUCGCAGGUCAGGCUUGUGUCUGUCGUCUGUCGGUGCAGAGGCUCUCUGGAAAAAGGUUGUGGGCACCUGCAUAAAUGCUCCCCGAGUUGAGCACAGUGGAGUCAUAGAAGAUGAUGGAUCUCCAAGCUCUGAGUUCAGAGACUCAAUCCUCCACCUUGUGGGAACCAGUAGCAGUGCUGCUAAGAUAAAGGAAAGGACCUUGCUCUGUGUCAUCCCUUCUAGCUCGCCUGCUGUAGCUAAGAUAAAGGAUCUGGCCUUGAAUUCCUAAUCCUCCUUCCUGUCUUCACAUCCCAAGUGCUCCCAACACGACAUCUGGCUCCAUGGAUUGUUUAUCUAUGCUGGUGGCAGAGGUUUUGAAGUCUAAAUCUGAUCUGGGAUGACAUUCUGAGCCACAUGUGGCCUCUGAGCACUUUCAGUGUGGCCAGUCCAGCCCUGGGUUUCAAACACAGUGCAAAUAAUCAUCAUACCAAUGAGAUGGCUCAGUGGGUAAGGGUGCCUGUUGCCAAGCUGGAUGCCCAAGUUCAGUCCCUGGAACCCACAUGGCAGAGGGAGAGAACUGGCUCAUACUAGUUGUCCCCUGGCCUCCACAUGUGUGGCAUGUGUGAGUACACACACACAUACAAAUAAAUACAUACAAAUGAUAA